ACCAGCGGAGGGAUCAUUACCGAGUUUACAACUCCCAAACCCAAUGUGAACGUUACCAAACUGUUGCCUCGGCGGGAUCUCUGCCCCGGGUGCGUCGCAGCCCCGGACCAAGGCGCCCGCCGGAGGACCAACCUAAAACUCUUAUUGUAUACCCCCUCGCGGGUUUUUUUUUAUAAUCUGAGCCUUCUCGGCGCCUCUCGUAGGCGUUUCGAAAAUGAAUCAAAACUUUCAACAACGGAUCUCUUGGUUCUGGCAUCGAUGAAGAACGCAGCGAAAUGCGAUAAGUAAUGUGAAUUGCAGAAUUCAGUGAAUCAUCGAAUCUUUGAACGCACAUUGCGCCCGCCAGUAUUCUGGCGGGCAUGCCUGUCCGAGCGUCAUUUCAACCCUCGAACCCCUCCGGGGGGUCGGCGUUGGGGAUCGGCCCUCCCUUAGCGGGUGGCCGUCUCCGAAAUACUGUGGCGGUCUCGCCGCAGCCUCUCCUGCGCAGUAGUUUGCACACUCGCAUCGGGAGCGCGGCGCGUCCACAGCCGUUAAACACCCAACUUCUGAAAUGUGACCUCGAU
This 563-nucleotide ribosomal RNA is filed under the name Trichoderma harzianum. RNAcentral's name for it is "eukaryotic LSU rRNA". The stretch from base 224 to 377 matches the Rfam family "5.8S ribosomal RNA". The record is from RNAcentral. Lineage: Eukaryota; Fungi; Ascomycota; Sordariomycetes; Hypocreales; Hypocreaceae.